This 374-nucleotide ribosomal RNA is filed under the name uncultured organism. RNAcentral describes it as "partial 16S ribosomal RNA". It matches the Rfam family "Bacterial small subunit ribosomal RNA", at positions 527 to 896 of the family's 1533-position model. The record is from RNAcentral.
GUAGGUGGCAAGCGUUGUCCGGAAUUAUUGGGCGUAAAGCGCGCGCAGGCGGUCCUUUAAGUCUGAUGUGAAAGCCCACGGCUCAACCGUGGAGGGUCAUUGGAAACUGGGGGACUUGAGUGCAGAAGAGGAAAGCGGAAUUCCAAGUGUAGCGGUGAAAUGCGUAGAGAUUUGGAGGAACACCAGUGGCGAAGGCGGCUUUCUGGUCUGUAACUGACGCUGAGGCGCGAAAGCGUGGGGAGCAAACAGGAUUAGAUACCCUGGUAGUCCACGCCGUAAACGAUGAGUGCUAAGUGUUAGGGGGUUUCCCGCCCCCCUUAGUGCUGCAGCUAACGCAUUAAGCACUCCGCCUGGGGAGUACGGCCGCAAGGCUG